UACGUAGGCGGUUUGUUAAGUUAGAUGUGAAAGUUUGCAGCUCAACUGUAAAAAGUGCAUUUAAAACUGGCAGACUUGAGUCUCGGAGAGGUAAGCGGAAUUCCUAGUGUAGCGGUGAAAUGCGUAGAGAUUAGGAAGAACACCGGUGGCGAAGGCGGCUUACUGGACGAGUACUGACGCUCAGGUACGAAAGCGUGGGGAGCAAACA
This 208-nucleotide ribosomal RNA is filed under the name uncultured bacterium. Its description in RNAcentral is "partial 16S ribosomal RNA". It matches the Rfam family "Bacterial small subunit ribosomal RNA", at positions 568 to 774 of the family's 1533-position model. The record is from RNAcentral.